UACGUAGGGUGCGAGCGUUGUCCGGAAUUAUUGGGCGUAAAGAGCUCGUAGGCGGUGUGUCACGUCGGCCGUGAAAACCUGCAGCUUAACUGUGGGCGUGCGGUCGAUACGGGCAUCACUGGAGUUCGGCAGGGGAGACUGGAAUUCCUGGUGUAGCGGUGAAAUGCGCAGAUAUCAGGAGGAACACCGGUGGCGAAGGCGGGUCUCCGGGCCGAUACUGACGCUGAGGAGCGAAAGCGUGGGGAGCAAACAGG
This 254-nucleotide ribosomal RNA is filed under the name uncultured bacterium. RNAcentral's name for it is "partial 16S ribosomal RNA". It matches the Rfam family "Bacterial small subunit ribosomal RNA", at positions 524 to 776 of the family's 1533-position model. The record is from RNAcentral.